Molecule: ribosomal RNA, 513 nt
Filed under: Delias pasithoe
Lineage: Eukaryota; Metazoa; Arthropoda; Insecta; Lepidoptera; Pieridae
Description: partial 16S ribosomal RNA
Rfam family: Eukaryotic large subunit ribosomal RNA (bases 1-142)
Source: RNAcentral
GUCUUUUUGAGUAUAAUUUAAAGUCUAAUCUGCCCACUGAAUAUUUUAAAGGGCUGCAGUAUUAUGACUGUACAAAGGUAGCAUAAUCAUUAGUCUUUUAAUUGGAGACUUGUAUGAAUGAUUUAAUGAGAUAUGAACUGUCUUUUUUUUAGUAAUAGAAUUUAAUUUUUUAGUUAAAAAGCUAAAAUUUUUUUAAAAGACGAGAAGACCCUAUAGAGUUUAAUUUUUUUAAUUUAUAAAAGUAUUUUAUAAAAAUUAUAAAUUUAUAUAUAAAUAAAAAAAUUUUGUUGGGGUGAUGAAAAAAUUUAUUAAACUUUUUUUAUAGAGUUAACAUUGAUUUAUGAUUUUUUGAUCCAUAAUUUAUGAUUAAAAGAUUAAAUUACCUUAGGGAUAACAGCGUAAUUUUAUUUUUUAGUUCAAAUAAAAAUUAAAGUUUGCGACCUCGAUGUUGGAUUAAGAUAAAAUUUAAAUGCAAAAAUUUAAAAUUUUGAUCUGUUCGAUCAUUAAAAUCUU